RNAcentral lists this ribosomal RNA (253 nucleotides) under uncultured bacterium. RNAcentral describes it as "partial 16S ribosomal RNA". It matches the Rfam family "Bacterial small subunit ribosomal RNA", at positions 524 to 776 of the family's 1533-position model. The record is from RNAcentral.
UACAGAGGGGGCAAGCGUUGUUCGGAAUUACUGGGCGUAAAGGGCGUGUAGGCGGCCAACUAAGUCCGACGUGAAAUCCCCAGGCUUAACCUGGGAACUGCGUCGGAUACUGGAUGGCUUGAAUCCGGGAGAGGGAUGCGGAAUUCCAGGUGUAGCGGUGAAAUGCGUAGAUAUCUGGAGGAACACCGGUGGCGAAGGCGGCAUCCUGGACCGGCAUUGACGCUAAAGCGCGAAAGCCAGGGGAGCAAACGGG